AAAAACCAGCCCACACUCUUCCACUCAGCAUUUCAAGGCCGACCAGCACCUGCAGAAAAGAGAAGAAAAGAAAAGAAAAACCCUAGGGAGGAAAAACUAAGGAAAAUUUGUUGAAUUUUCAAGAAAUUGGUGACUAAAGGUGGUGAGCCCUCGGAUAAGGGCAAAGGUAUUGCACCCGAGGAUCGAGACUAGGAGUGUUGUAAAUUCCCGUCAAAGUUCAAGAUAGUCUGUAGGCAGUCGAUUUCAUCAAG
Non-coding RNA from Theobroma cacao (cacao), 251 nucleotides. NCBI's taxonomy places the organism in Eukaryota, Viridiplantae, Streptophyta, Magnoliopsida, Malvales, Malvaceae. The record is from RefSeq and is a predicted model, not a curated record.